GCAGGCCUAAUACAUGCAAGUCGAACGGUAAGGCUCUCUUCGGAGAGUACACGAGUGGCGCACGGGUGCGUAACGCGUAUGCAACCUACCCUUCAGAGGAGGAUACCCAGUGGAAACGCUGAAUAAUACUCCAUAUAUAUUAAAGCUUCAUGGUUUAAAUAUGAAAGCUCCGGCGCUGAAGGAUGGGCAUGCGUCCCAUUAGUUAGUUGGUGAGGUAACGGCUCACCAAGGCAUCGAUGGGUAACUGGUCUGAGAGGAUGAUCAGUCACACGGGCACUGAGACACGGGCCCGACUCCUACGGGAGGCAGCAGUAAGGAAUAUUGGUCAAUGGGGGCAACCCUGAACCAGCCAUGCCGCGUGGAGGAAGACGGUUCUAGUAAUUGUAAACUCCUUUUAUGUAAGACUAAUAAGGUACUAUAGGUACCGAUGCAGGUACUACAUGAAUAAGCACCGGCUAACUACGUGCCAGCAGCCGCGGUAAUACGUAGGGUGCAAGCGUUGUC
RNAcentral lists this ribosomal RNA (504 nucleotides) under uncultured bacterium. RNAcentral's name for it is "bacterial SSU rRNA". It matches the Rfam family "Bacterial small subunit ribosomal RNA", at positions 42 to 545 of the family's 1533-position model. The record is from RNAcentral.